RNAcentral lists this ribosomal RNA (714 nucleotides) under uncultured Staphylococcus sp. RNAcentral's name for it is "bacterial SSU rRNA". It matches the Rfam family "Bacterial small subunit ribosomal RNA", at positions 59 to 756 of the family's 1533-position model. Lineage: Bacteria; Bacillati; Bacillota; Bacilli; Caryophanales; Staphylococcaceae. The record is from RNAcentral.
AAGUCGAGCGAACGGACGAGAAGCUUGCUUCUCUGAUGUUAGCGGCGGACGGGUGAGUAACACGUAGAUAACCUACCUAUAAGACUGGGAUAACUUCGGGAAACCGGAGCUAAUACCGGAUAAUAUUUUGAACCGCAUGGUUCAAAAGUGAAAGACGGUCUUGCUGUCACUUAUAGAUGGAUCCGCGCUGCAUUAGCUAGUUGGUAAGGUAACGGCUUACCAAGGCAACGAUGCAUAGCCGACCUGAGAGGGUGAUCGGCCACACUGGAACUGAGACACGGUCCAGACUCCUACGGGAGGCAGCAGUAGGGAAUCUUCCGCAAUGGGCGAAAGCCUGACGGAGCAACGCCGCGUGAGUGAUGAAGGUCUUCGGAUCGUAAAACUCUGUUAUUAGGGAAGAACAUAUGUGUAAGUAACUGUGCACAUCUUGACGGUACCUAAUCAGAAAGCCACGGCUAACUACGUGCCAGCAGCCGCGGUAAUACGUAGGUGGCAAGCGUUAUCCGGAAUUAUUGGGCGUAAAGCGCGCGUAGGCGGUUUUUUAAGUCUGAUGUGAAAGCCCACGGCUCAACCGUGGAGGGUCAUUGGAAACUGGAAAACUUGAGUGCAGAAGAGGAAAGUGGAAUUCCAUGUGUAGCGGUGAAAUGCGCAGAGAUAUGGAGGACACCAGUGGCGAAGGCGACUUUCUGGUCUGUAACUGACGCUGAUGUGCGA